Molecule: ribosomal RNA, 2918 nt
Filed under: Bacillus anthracis (anthrax bacterium)
Lineage: Bacteria; Bacillati; Bacillota; Bacilli; Caryophanales; Bacillaceae
Description: bacterial LSU rRNA
Rfam family: Bacterial large subunit ribosomal RNA
Source: RNAcentral
UAAGUUAGAAAGGGCGCACGGUGGAUGCCUUGACACUAGGAGUCGAUGAAGGACGGGACUAACGCCGAUAUGCUUCGGGGAGCUGUAAGUAAGCUUUGAUCCGAAGAUUUCCGAAUGGGGAAACCCACCAUACGUAAUGGUAUGGUAUCCUUAUCUGAAUACAUAGGGUAAGGAAGACAGACCCAGGGAACUGAAACAUCUAAGUACCUGGAGGAAGAGAAAGCAAAUGCGAUUUCCUGAGUAGCGGCGAGCGAAACGGAACAUAGCCCAAACCAAGAGGCUUGCCUCUUGGGGUUGUAGGACAUUCUAUACGGAGUUACAAAGGAACGAGGUAGACGAAGCGACCUGGAAAGGUCCGUCGUAGAGGGUAACAACCCCGUAGUCGAAACUUCGUUCUCUCUUGAAUGUAUCCUGAGUACGGCGGAACACGUGAAAUUCCGUCGGAAUCUGGGAGGACCAUCUCCCAAGGCUAAAUACUCCCUAGUGAUCGAUAGUGAACCAGUACCGUGAGGGAAAGGUGAAAAGCACCCCGGAAGGGGAGUGAAAGAGAUCCUGAAACCGUGUGCCUACAAAUAGUCAGAGCCCGUUAACGGGUGAUGGCGUGCCUUUUGUAGAAUGAACCGGCGAGUUACGAUCCCGUGCGAGGUUAAGCUGAAGAGGCGGAGCCGCAGCGAAAGCGAGUCUGAAUAGGGCGUUUAGUACGUGGUCGUAGACCCGAAACCAGGUGAUCUACCCAUGUCCAGGGUGAAGUUCAGGUAACACUGAAUGGAGGCCCGAACCCACGCACGUUGAAAAGUGCGGGGAUGAGGUGUGGGUAGCGGAGAAAUUCCAAUCGAACCUGGAGAUAGCUGGUUCUCCCCGAAAUAGCUUUAGGGCUAGCCUUAAGUGUAAGAGUCUUGGAGGUAGAGCACUGAUUGGACUAGGGGUCCUCAUCGGAUUACCGAAUUCAGUCAAACUCCGAAUGCCAAUGACUUAUCCUUAGGAGUCAGACUGCGAGUGAUAAGAUCCGUAGUCAAAAGGGAAACAGCCCAGACCGCCAGCUAAGGUCCCAAAGUGUGUAUUAAGUGGAAAAGGAUGUGGAGUUGCUUAGACAACUAGGAUGUUGGCUUAGAAGCAGCCACCAUUUAAAGAGUGCGUAAUAGCUCACUAGUCGAGUGACUCUGCGCCGAAAAUGUACCGGGGCUAAAUACACCACCGAAGCUGCGGAUUGAUACCAAUGGUAUCAGUGGUAGGGGAGCGUUCUAAGGACAGUGAAGUCAGACCGGAAGGACUGGUGGAGUGCUUAGAAGUGAGAAUGCCGGUAUGAGUAGCGAAAGACGGGUGAGAAUCCCGUCCACCGAAUGCCUAAGGUUUCCUGAGGAAGGCUCGUCCGCUCAGGGUUAGUCAGGACCUAAGCCGAGGCCGACAGGCGUAGGCGAUGGACAACAGGUUGAUAUUCCUGUACCACCUCUUUAUCGUUUGAGCAAUGGAGGGACGCAGAAGGAUAGAAGAAGCGUGCGAUUGGUUGUGCACGUCCAAGCAGUUAGGCUGAUAAGUAGGCAAAUCCGCUUAUCGUGAAGGCUGAGCUGUGAUGGGGAAGCUCCUUAUGGAGCGAAGUCUUUGAUUCCCCGCUGCCAAGAAAAGCUUCUAGCGAGAUAAAAGGUGCCUGUACCGCAAACCGACACAGGUAGGCGAGGAGAGAAUCCUAAGGUGUGCGAGAGAACUCUGGUUAAGGAACUCGGCAAAAUGACCCCGUAACUUCGGGAGAAGGGGUGCUUUCUUAACGGAAAGCCGCAGUGAAUAGGCCCAAGCGACUGUUUAGCAAAAACACAGCUCUCUGCGAAGCCGUAAGGCGAAGUAUAGGGGGUGACACCUGCCCGGUGCUGGAAGGUUAAGGAGAGGGGUUAGCGUAAGCGAAGCUCUGAACUGAAGCCCCAGUAAACGGCGGCCGUAACUAUAACGGUCCUAAGGUAGCGAAAUUCCUUGUCGGGUAAGUUCCGACCCGCACGAAAGGUGUAACGAUUUGGGCACUGUCUCAACCAGAGACUCGGUGAAAUUAUAGUACCUGUGAAGAUGCAGGUUACCCGCGACAGGACGGAAAGACCCCGUGGAGCUUUACUGUAGCCUGAUAUUGAAUUUUGGUACAGUUUGUACAGGAUAGGCGGGAGCCUUUGAAACCGGAGCGCUAGCUUCGGUGGAGGCGCUGGUGGGAUACCGCCCUGACUGUAUUGAAAUUCUAACCUACGGGUCUUAUCGACCCGGGAGACAGUGUCAGGUGGGCAGUUUGACUGGGGCGGUCGCCUCCUAAAGUGUAACGGAGGCGCCCAAAGGUUCCCUCAGAAUGGUUGGAAAUCAUUCGUAGAGUGCAAAGGCAUAAGGGAGCUUGACUGCGAGACCUACAAGUCGAGCAGGGACGAAAGUCGGGCUUAGUGAUCCGGUGGUUCCGCAUGGAAGGGCCAUCGCUCAACGGAUAAAAGCUACCCCGGGGAUAACAGGCUUAUCUCCCCCAAGAGUCCACAUCGACGGGGAGGUUUGGCACCUCGAUGUCGGCUCAUCGCAUCCUGGGGCUGUAGUCGGUCCCAAGGGUUGGGCUGUUCGCCCAUUAAAGCGGUACGCGAGCUGGGUUCAGAACGUCGUGAGACAGUUCGGUCCCUAUCCGUCGUGGGCGUAGGAGAUUUGAGAGGAGCUGUCCUUAGUACGAGAGGACCGGGAUGGACGCACCGCUGGUGUACCAGUUGUUCUGCCAAGGGCAUAGCUGGGUAGCUAUGUGCGGAAGGGAUAAGUGCUGAAAGCAUCUAAGCAUGAAGCCCCCCUCAAGAUGAGAUUUCCCAUAGCGUAAGCUAGUAAGAUCCCUGAAAGAUGAUCAGGUUGAUAGGUUCGAGGUGGAAGCAUGGUGACAUGUGGAGCUGACGAAUACUAAUAGAUCGAGGACUUAACCA